UGGGGAAUAUUGGGCAAUGGGCGCAAGCCUGACCCAGCCAUGCCGCGUGAGUGAUGAAGGCCUUCGGGUCGUAAAGCUCUGUGGGGAGGGAAGAACAAGCACGUGGCUAACAUCCACGGGCCCUGACGGUACCUCCUUAGCAAGCACCGGCUAACUCCGUGCCAGCAGCCGCGGUAAUACGGAGGGUGCAAACGUUGCUCGGAAUUAUUGGGCGUAAAGCGCAUGUAGGCGGCCGAAUAAGUCGGGUGUGAAAGCCCAGGGCUUAACCCUGGAAGUGCACUCGAAACUGCUCGGCUUGAAUAUGGAAGAGGGUCGCGGAAUUCCCGGUGUAGAGGUGAAAUUCGUAGAUAUCGGGAGGAACACCAGUGGCGAAGGCGGCGACCUGGGCCAAUAUUGACGCUGAGAUGCGAAAGCGUGGGGAGCAAACA
RNAcentral lists this ribosomal RNA (428 nucleotides) under uncultured Haliangium sp. RNAcentral's name for it is "bacterial SSU rRNA". It matches the Rfam family "Bacterial small subunit ribosomal RNA", at positions 355 to 774 of the family's 1533-position model. The record is from RNAcentral. Lineage: Bacteria; Pseudomonadati; Myxococcota; Haliangiales; Kofleriaceae.